This 886-nucleotide ribosomal RNA is filed under the name uncultured bacterium. Its description in RNAcentral is "bacterial SSU rRNA". It matches the Rfam family "Bacterial small subunit ribosomal RNA", at positions 597 to 1499 of the family's 1533-position model. The record is from RNAcentral.
AAAGCCUGGAGCUUACUCCAGAUAUGGGGUAGAUACUGUAUAGCUAGAGUGACGGAGGGGGAGAUGGAAUUGUCGGUGGAGCAGUGAAAUGCGUUGAUAUCGACAAGAACACCAAAGGCGAAGGCAGUCUCCUGGUCGUCUACUGACGCUCAUGCACGAAAGCUAGGGGAGCGAAGCAGAUUAGAGACCUGCGUAGUCCUAGCCGUAAACGAUGGACACUAGAUAGUAGAUUUUUAUUUACUGUCGUCAAGCUAACGCGUUAAGUGUCCCGCCUGGGGAGUACGGUCGCAAGACUAAAACUCAAAGGAAUUGACGGGGAACCGCACAAGCAGUGGAGCAUGUGGUUUAAUUCGAGACGAAGCGAAAAACCUCACCAGGGUUUGACAUUCUUCUGCAAGCGCACGGAAACGUGUGACCUUCGAGGGUGAAGAACCGGUGCUGCAUGGCUGUCGUCAGCUCGUAUCGUGAGACGUUUGCUUAAGUGCAAUAACGAGCGCAACCCCUACUGUAUGUUAGCUUGUCAUACAGAACUGCCUGUUUAUCAAACGGGAGGAAGGCGGGGAUGACGUCAAGUCAGCAUGGCCCUUAUGCCCUGGGCAACACACAUCCUACAAUGGCGAACAACAACGGGUUGCAACACGGCGACGUGAAGCUAAUCCCUGAAAUUUCGCCUCAGUUCAGAUCGGAGUCUGCAACUCGACUCCGUGAAGUCGGAAUUGCUAGUAAUCGCGGAUCAGCAGGCCGCGGUGAAUACGUUCUCGGUUCUUGUACACACCGCCCGUCAAGUAGGGAAAGUUGGGGGUACCCGAAGACGUGUCUCUAACCCAUUUGGGAGGAGCACGGCGAAGGUAACACCAGCGAUCAAUGCUAAGUCGUAACAAGGUAA